UGGGGAAUAUUGGACAAUGGGCGAAAGCCUGAUCCAGCAAUGCCGCGUGAGUGAUGAAGGCCUUCGGGUUGUAAAGCUCUGUCGGGAGGGACGAAUAGGGUGGUGUAAUGGCCACUUCUGACGGUACCUCCAAAGGAAGCACCGGCUAACUCUGUGCCAGCAGCCGCGGUAAUACAGAGGGUGCAAGCGUUGUUCGGAAUUACUGGGCGUAAAGCGCGUGUAGGCGGCGUCGUGAGUCAUAUGUGAAAGCCCUCGGCUCAACCGAGGAAGUGCAUGUGAUACUGCGAUGCUUGAGUGUUGGAGGGGUGGCGGAAUUCCCGGUGUAGAGGUGAAAUUCGUAGAUAUCGGGAGGAACACCUGUGGCGAAGGCGGCCACCUGGACAACAACUGACGCUGAGACGCGAAAGCGUGGGUAGCAAACAGGAUUAGAUACCCAAGUAGUCCCUGAGCGGGC
This 454-nucleotide ribosomal RNA is filed under the name uncultured bacterium. Its description in RNAcentral is "bacterial SSU rRNA". It matches the Rfam family "Bacterial small subunit ribosomal RNA", at positions 355 to 804 of the family's 1533-position model. The record is from RNAcentral.